GGAGCGAGCGUUAUCCGGAUUUAUUGGGUGUAAAGGGUGCGUAGGCGGCUUCUUAAGUCUGUAGUCUAAGCCCGGAGCUUAACUCCGGUUCGCUACAGAAACUGAUUAGCUUGAGUAUGGUAGAGGCAAGUGGAAUUUCUAGUGUAGCGGUUAAAUGCGUAGAUAUUAGAAGGAACACCAGUGGCGAAGGCGACUUGCUGGGCCAUCACUGACGCUGAGGCACGAAAGCAUGGGUAGCGAACA
This 243-nucleotide ribosomal RNA is filed under the name uncultured bacterium. RNAcentral's name for it is "partial 16S ribosomal RNA". It matches the Rfam family "Bacterial small subunit ribosomal RNA", at positions 531 to 774 of the family's 1533-position model. The record is from RNAcentral.